GAGGGUAUAGCAGAGUGGUAGAGUGCACCCUUGGCAUGCACAAUGUCCUGGGUUCAAUCCCCAGUACCUCCA
This is a transfer RNA of Camelus ferus (Wild Bactrian camel), 72 nucleotides long. It matches the Rfam family "tRNA". From Rfam's summary of the family: Transfer RNA (tRNA) molecules are approximately 80 nucleotides in length. Lineage: Eukaryota; Metazoa; Chordata; Mammalia; Artiodactyla; Camelidae. The record is from Rfam.